RNAcentral lists this transfer RNA (24 nucleotides) under Carlina graeca. RNAcentral describes it as "partial tRNA-Leu". RNAcentral also lists the same sequence under 1 other name. Lineage: Eukaryota; Viridiplantae; Streptophyta; Magnoliopsida; Asterales; Asteraceae. The record is from RNAcentral.
GUGGUUCAAGUCCCUCUAUCCCCA